RNAcentral lists this ribosomal RNA (252 nucleotides) under uncultured bacterium. Its description in RNAcentral is "partial 16S ribosomal RNA". It matches the Rfam family "Bacterial small subunit ribosomal RNA", at positions 524 to 776 of the family's 1533-position model. The record is from RNAcentral.
UACGGAGGAUGCGAGCGUUAUCCGGAUUUAUUGGGUUUAAAGGGUGCGUAGGCGGGAUGCCAAGUCAGCGGUAAAAAUGCGGUGCUCAACGCCGUCGAGCCGUUGAAACUGGCGUUCUUGAGUGGGCGAGAAGUAUGCGGAAUGCGUGGUGUAGCGGUGAAAUGCAUAGAUAUCACGCAGAACUCCGAUUGCGAAGGCAGCAUACCGGCGCCCUACUGACGCUGAGGCACGAAAGCGCGGGGAUCGAACAGG